AGAUCAUCCCGUCUUCAAUUUUAUCGAUUUUCUACGUAAAAAAAAUACCUAAAGUUGUAUUACAAAAGUAGUUUGAAAUGUUUGGACAAAGCUUACAGGUAACAUUUGAGAUAUUUUGUAGUUACGUUGUGCAAGUUGGAACCGGUGUUUUUCUGGAUCAAACGGGUCAAAUAAAUGUACAUUUUGGAUAUAUAUCAACGGAAUUAAUCAAACAAAAUGAUCAUUUGUGAUGUUUAUGGGACAUAUUGGAGUGCCAACAGAAGAAGCUCAUCAAAGAAGCAGGAAGCUGUGCAGUGCAUUCAGACCGG
Molecule: long non-coding RNA, 308 nt
Organism: Oncorhynchus tshawytscha (Chinook salmon)
Lineage: Eukaryota; Metazoa; Chordata; Actinopteri; Salmoniformes; Salmonidae
Source: Ensembl